AUUUGGGAGCUUGCUCCCAUUGGUUAGCGGCGGACGGGUGAGUAACACGUGGGCAACCUGCCUGUAAGACUGGGAUAACUUCGGGAAACCGGAGCUAAUACCGGAUAAUUCAUUUCCUCUCAUGAGGAAAUGCUGAAAGACGGUUUCGGCGUGUCACUUACAGAUGGGCCCGCGGCGCAUUAGCUAGUUGGUGAGGUAACGGCUCACCAAGGCGACGAUGCGUAGCCGACCUGAGAGGGUGAUCGGCCACACUGGGACUGAGACACGGCCCAGACUCCUACGGGAGGCAGCAGUAGGGAAUCUUCCACAAUGGACGAAAGUCUGAUGGAGCAACGCCGCGUGAGCGAUGAAGGCCUUCGGGUCGUAAAGCUCUGUUGUUAGGGAAGAACAAGUACCGGAGUAACUGCCGGUACCUUGACGGUACCUAACCAGAAAGCCACGGCUAACUACGUGCCAGCAGCCGCGGUAAUACGUAGGUGGCAAGCGUUGUCCGGAAUUAUUGGGCGUAAAGCGCGCGCAGGCGGUCCUUUAAGUCUGAUGUGAAAGCCCACGGCUCAACCGUGGAGGGUCAUUGGAAACUGGGGGACUUGAGUGCAGAAGAUGAAAGCGGAAUUCCACGUGUAGCGGUGAAAUGCGUAGAGAUGUGGAGGAACACCAGUGGCGAAGGCGGCUUUCUGGUCUGUAACUGACGCUGAGGCGCGAAAGCGUGGGGAGCAAACAGGAUUAGAUACCCUGGUAGUCCACGCCGUAAACGAUGAGUGCUAAGUGUUAGGG
Molecule: ribosomal RNA, 774 nt
Filed under: Bacillus sp. IDA2156
Lineage: Bacteria; Bacillati; Bacillota; Bacilli; Caryophanales; Bacillaceae
Description: bacterial SSU rRNA
Rfam family: Bacterial small subunit ribosomal RNA
Source: RNAcentral